CCUACGUGUGGCUGCAGUGGGGAAUAUUGGACAAUGGGCGAAAGCCUGAUCCAGCCAUGCCGCGUGUGUGAAGAAGGCCUUCGGGUUGUAAAGCACUUUCAGUGGGGAAGAAAGCCUUGGGGCUAAUACCCUCGAGGAAGGACAUCACCCACAGAAGAAGCACCGGCUAACUCCGUGCCAGCAGCCGCGGUAAUACGGAGGGUGCGAGCGUUAAUCGGAAUUACUGGGCGUAAAGCGCGCGUAGGCGGUCUGAUAAGCCGGUUGUGAAAGCCCCGGGCUCAACCUGGGAACGGCAUCCGGAACUGUCAGGCUAGAGUGCAGGAAAGGAAGGUAGAAUUCCCGGUGUAGCGGUGAAAUGCGUAGAGAUCGGGAGGAAUACCAGUGGCGAAGGCGGCCUUCUGGACUGACACUGACGCUGAGGUGCGAAAGCGUGGGUAGCAAACAGGAUUAGAUACCCUUGUAGUC
Molecule: ribosomal RNA, 465 nt
Filed under: Vreelandella stevensii
Lineage: Bacteria; Pseudomonadati; Pseudomonadota; Gammaproteobacteria; Oceanospirillales; Halomonadaceae
Description: partial 16S ribosomal RNA
Rfam family: Bacterial small subunit ribosomal RNA
Source: RNAcentral